UCCACCACUCCUGACUUAUCAUCGUCGUCCGCGCCCAGCAUCAUGCCCAGUUGAUUCACGUCCUGCACCUGACCCUACUAAUAACGCGGAAUAGUUUAAUAAUGAAUAAUACGCAGCAAUAUGUUAUACAGAUAUUUAAAGAAAACUAGUAACAAAUAAUCAGAGAUCUUUUGAGCUAAGCUGGAAAUUUUCUUGGCUUUACAUCUAUUUUUCUCUAGAGUUAUCUUGGCUACGGGAUCACCUACAAGGUCUAAACGCACUCAUUGCUACGACCUAUCUUUUUUGCUAGCCAACGUAUGGGCCGAGUAUUACUCGGCUACCUCACAUACUUAGAGAAAAUGAAUACCUCAUACUAACAGCUAUAGCAAUAAUAGAACACGAUUAUAAGUAACAGUUGAAAAUAGAUAAAAGUAUAGCAUAAAAAUUGUCGAUUAUAACAUUAUGAAAUUAUAAUUUUUCUAUGCCCCAGACAGUAUAUAUAGACCCUAAACGGUAUAUUUUCUAUAUUUUGAAUAGUGUUAAUCUUUCUUCUCACGCAACUAAGAUUGCCAAACUUGAAAAUGAUCUUCAAAACUGGAAUAUUCCAGAAGAACCUUUCAAAACCUUUUACCAACUAGGUAACUUUAGUUUCAUUAAAAGACAUAAUAUUAAGACCUGUGAGUCUACCACCGCUAUCAAUAAUUCCCUAGAAAUUAUUAGACUUUUAAACGAGCAUGAUAUAAAUCGGUAUAAAACCUAGUUUAAUUAUCUUCAUAUAGGACUCGUACAAGUCGUUGUCAAGCCUCUCUUUCGAAAAGGCUUAGAUAUUCCUAUUUGUGUUCUCCUUAGAGACGAUCGUCUUCUUAACUUCGACGACUCCCUCUUACGUGUUCUUCAAAGUAACCUCGCCGAUGGCCCGGUAUACUUUAAUUGCUAUCCUAACUUCUCGGUUGACAUCAAUGAUCCCAACGUCAUAGAUGCCGUAACACUUAAUGUCAAAAACAAGAAUAUGAAUAGCAAAGCCAAUACUCGAGAGAUAGCCGUUUACAAGGUAUAUUAUAGGCUUAUGUCAACUACCCUUGCCCCAAAGGCAAGAAUUGAAAGUAAAAAAGUAGUUACCAUGCUUAUGGAAGCGAACCAUGAGCACAGUACGGUCUUCGUACCUAGACACCUCAACUGGAACGACAAACUUUCCAGUAAUGAUUGGCACUUUGAUACCAUAACUCAACCACUACGCUCCCAUUCUGAGAGAUCUCAAAUAGAAAGGGUAAUCCAAUUCCCUGAUGGUUCAAUCGAUCCUAAAUUUCUUAAAAAUUCGAUGAGUCGAACCUCUUCCCUUGGAAGAACGUCAUCAGCGCGACCUUCAUCAUCUAGACCCCCUUCUUCGUCAAAAACUCCGGAGGAAAUUCACACUGACAAUGACAAAGGAAAAAUCAGAGGAGUUGAUUUCUCUGGAGACGUUCCCAAAGUUUACUACCAGACCGAAACCUAUGUCCAGGUAGCCCCUCUCGGAGCGAUAUGGACCCUCCUCCUGCUACACCCGAAUUCGUCAAAAUGAUUAGGUCAGAAGAUUUAUUUACUCCCAAUCCCGAGAUUCUCAAAAAUCUCUGAACAGAUCCUAACAACCAAACCAACAGAAAUUGGUAUAUCGCCACCUACUCUCUUCAGCAAAGGGAAGCUUUUAGAGAUUGUUGGAUGUCAGACAUGAAAAGAAUUAGAUGUGAAAUCGAGUUCUUUAAAUGGUUUGAAAUAUCUGGCAAACUCGAAAACCAAAAGGAUUCCCUCCAAGUCAUCAUCAACAAGGGGUAUACCACCACAAACAAAGUUGUUGAAUAUGUCAUUCCUCUCCUUGAAGGAAUCAACAUUCGAGUCUCCAAUAUUAUUAUUACAGGUUCCCCCUUUAAAACAAAAAGUUGAAAACCUCAAGUUAUAGUUUCAUGUUUAGACAUUCGAUCGAGUCAUCGAAUAAAACAACGAUACCAACUUCUUAACAUCGUUUCUAGACAAAUAGAAGAAACAAAAGAAAAAUCCUCGUUUAGUCAUAAACCUACUCCUUCAAAAGCCAACACUAGUCAAGAUAUUGAUUCUAGUCCAGUUUUCAAAAUGACAGAAUUCUCAAGAGAUAAAUUCCCCAAGUUUAAAGAAACUUUUGAGAUCUCUGGCAAUGUGCUUGACAAAAUCAACGAACAAUUAUCCAACUUCAAUAUUUCUGACCAAAACGAGUCAAAAACAAAGAGUUUCUACCAUCCAGGAAAAAGAUAUUCUUCUCCAAAAACUCUCUAAUGAUCGGUAUCAUAACCGAAAAAACUAUCACAAGCGUCCUUUUCCUGACCUACAGUACGAAGAAAACGCCUUUUUGUCUACCUCCUCUCAUGAAGGGAGAAGCAUCCCAUAAUGGAAUAUCGAUGGACUAGCUGAACAUCAGAUAUAUAACAAACUCCAUGAAAUGAGCGUUUCCAUAACUGCUUACAAAAUCAGAGGUUCCUCUGACAAAGAAGCAACCUCUAUGAUAGUAGUCGAUUUUACUGGUAUGUUAAGACAUUGGAGGGAUAAUUAUUUCACUGAUGAUAUCAAACGUGCCAUCUAUGAUGCCACAACUAUUGAAACAGUCGUCAAGACUGAAGGGACCUCUGAAACUACCACUCAGGUAUCCAGAGAGGAUGCUUGCGCUACCCUCGUUUAUCAUAUCGCAACACACUUCAUUGGAGAACCCAAACUCUUUCAAGAUAGAAGCUUGCAAAUCCUCAAUAAUCUGUCGUGUCUUACCCUAGACGACUUCAUAUGGUAUAAAAACCAAUUCAUCAGCAAAUUCAUGAUUAGACCAGACUAUAAUCUUAAUUUCUGGAAAGAACGCUUCGUCAGCGAACUACCUCCUCUUUUCGCAGAAAAGGUCAGAACCAAAAUUCAAGAUCGAUGUGAUGGUAAAAUUUCUUACCAUCAAAUGACAUAUGGAGACAUUAUCAGCAUCAUUAAUGUAGUAGGGUUAGAACUCUGUACAGACAUCAAAUUGAAACACCAGCUCAAAAAAGAGCGAUCUUCAUCUAGAAGAGAGUUAAGCACCUUUUGCCAAGACUUCGGAUUUACCUAUAUUUCUGCCCCUUCUACCCAUUCUUCCAAAAAAGACAAAAAAUCAAAAUCAUAUAGGAAAAAUAAUAAUAGAAAAUCAAGUAAAAAUUCCGAACCCCCCCCCCCCCCCAAAAGAAGAUCUAAAUUUCACAAACCUUCUAAGAUUUCUAACACUGAUGUUUGUUGGUACUGUGGAAAAGCCGGUCACCGAGCCAGUGAAUGCAAAUCAGGCAAGAAGAAAAAGAAAAUCAAUCUUCUUGAAAUCAGCGAUGACACAAAGAAAGAGCUUUACUCUAUUCUCGAAGAAGCUUAUUCUGAUCCCGCACCUCAUCAUUCCUCAGAUGAAUAUAGUGACGAGGAAAAUAUCAAUGUCGCCUAUAAUUCAGAUUCUAGUCAAUCAAGUGGUGAAUGCAAUUGCAUUAAAGCCAUAUGCACUUGCGAUAACUCAUCCAGAAUCAGAGUUUUAACUAAUGACUCAAAACAAGCUCUCUUCGAUGUCAUCCAACACAUCAAUGAUGAAGAAUCUAGAAAACGUUAUCUUCUAGAACUCAAAAAUCUUAUCCUCAAUCAUCAAGAAGAUAAACCCAAAACUAAGGACAUCAUUGAACCUUUUAGCAUGAAACAAAUUAUGUCUCGUUUUGAUAAUCCUUCCGAACCUUCAAUCUCCAAUCUAAGACAUGAAGUUGCAGAACUCAAAGGAGAAAUCAGAGACAUAAAGUCUAGACUUGGAAAGGUAGAGCUUGAUGCUCUUACAGAUCAAGUCCUCAGGUGUGCUAAUUCCUAUAAUCAUAAGUCUAACGACGAACUUUCUCUAAAGGAAGAAGUCCUCCCCAAUAAUGAUCAUUUGACUGAAUCUACUGCUAUUGACUUCGGCCUCACUGGUAAAAGGACCUCAACUUCCGAAACUCCCGGUAUCACUGUUAUCACUUCUAUUAGGCCUCAGAGUCAUCAUAUCCCUAUAAGGAUAGUAGUAGAUAAAAGUUUCAUGAUUAACAAAAUUGCUUUACUUGACAGCGGAGCUGACCGUAAUUGUAUAAUUAAAGGUAUUGCUCAUAUUCAUCACUUAGAGAAAAGUACCUCCAGGUUUUACUCCGCUAGAGGAGAACAAUUACGCAUUAACUAUAAACUGUCUAAAGCUCAUAUUUGCAACAAUGGUAUUUGCCUAACAAAUGAUUUUGUUAUUACAGAAGAUAUCAUCUUAGGAAUUCCUUUUAUCACCUAGAUAAAACCCUUUGUCACUGAUUUAAAUGGUAUAACUACCACCAUCCUAGAAAAAUAUCUACAUUUUCCUUUUUUAAAAACUCUUUCACAAGAUGAAAGCAAUUUUAUUAGAAAAAAUAAUGCUUUUAGAAUCAACCAACUUUCUCAACAUCACCUUUUUAAAAGAUGAAAUUAAGGUCAAAAAAAUCGAGCCGAUUUUAAAAACCCCGAAGAUGGUUACUAAAAUAGCCGAUCUUCAAAAACGUUUUGAGAAAGAAAUAUGCUUUGAUUUUCCUAACAUUUUUUGGGAAAGAAAAAAAAGCAUGUGAUUAAAAUUCCAUACAUAGAAGGAUUCAAUGAACAUGUCAUUUCUACUAAGGCAAGACCUAUCCAAAUGAAUCAUGAAAUGAUGAAAAAUCGCAAAAAAGAGAUUUUAAAUCUUUUAAAAAAUAAAAUUAUUCAUCCUUCUAAAUCUCCCUGGAGUUGUUCUGCAUUUUAUGUUAAUAACAAUGUAGAAAAGGAAAGAGGAGCACUACGACCAGUUAUCAACUAUAAACCUUUAAACGCUGUUUUAAAAUGGAUUAGGUAUCCAAUUCCUAACAAAAGAGAGCUCUUAAAAAGAACCUAUAAAGGUAAUGUCUAGCAAAUUUAAUAUGAAAUCUGGUUUUUGGCAAAUUCAAGUAGCCAAAAAAUACAUAUACAAAAUGGCCUUUAAUGUACCCUUCGGACAAUACGAAUGGAACGUUAUGCCUUUUGGGUUCAAGAAUGCCCCUUCUGAGUUUCAAAAUGUCAUGAACUCUAUUUUUAAUGAUUUUAGUCAUAUGUCUAUUUUUUAUAUAGAUGAUGUUCUUAUCUUUUCCGAAAAUAUCGAUUCACAUUUCAAACAUCUUAAUACCUUCUUUAAAGUGGUAAAAUUUAAUGGUUUAGUUGUUAGCGCUAAAAAGAUAAAACUCUUUCAAAAGUCUAUCAGAUUUAUAGGCCAUGACCUGUAUCAAGGUUCUUAUAAACCCAUUUGUAGAGCCAUAGAGUUCUCUUCCAAGUUUCCCAAUGAAAUUACGGAUAAGACCCAGCUUCAAAGAUUUCAAGGAAGUCUCAACUAUGUAGCUGACUUUAUUCCUAACAUUAGGCAUGUUUGUGAGCCUUUGUACAAAAGAGUUAGGAAGAAUCCUAUCCCUUGGAGUUCUGAGCAAACACAUGCAAUAAUCUGAAUCAAAAGAACGAUUCAAAACCUUCCCUGUUUAGGUAUUCCCAACCCAUAAGCCUUUAUGAUCGUAGAGACUGAUGCUUCAGAUAUCGGAUAUGGAGGAAUCCUUAAACAAAGAAUGACCCCUGAGUCCUCUGAACAACUUAUUCGUUUUACUUCACGAAUCUAGAAUUCCGCUCAAAAAAAUUAUUCUACUGUUAAAAAGGAAGUCUUGUCUAUAGUGCUAUGUAUCACUAAAUUUCAAGAUGAUCUUACUAAUAAAGAAUUUUUAGUAAGAGUUGAUUGUAAAUUGGCCAAAGAAAUUCUUCAAAAGGAUGUUAAAAAUGUUAUUUCAAAACAAAUAUUUGCUAGAUGGCAAGCUCUACUAUUUAGCUUUGAUUUCAAAAUUGAUUUCAUUAAAGGAGAGGAAAACUCUUUACCUAAUUUUCUAACUAGAGAAUUUCUACAGGAAAAAAAUGAGGCCCUUCAAACCUGACCCUUCCCUCAAAGGAAAAGAAUCGAAAAAUCCCCAAAUGGCUAGACCAUUUGAACUUCCCCCGUUUUCCCUACCAAAACUACAAUCUCGCAAAGACCCCAAAUUCCUUUUCAAAAUAGGUACACAGCGCUGGCUGAAUACCCCCAAAUUACCAGCUCAUGUACCAGUCCUAUCAGCCAAACUGAUUAAUCUUAAAUCAGCAAAACCAUUUGAAAAAGGAGCAUCAUUAAGUUCCUCGGUACAAACCAAAGAAAGUUACGCCAUAAAGGCCCCAGAAACCUUUGCUGAAGCAGUCAACCCAUCAUCUACUCCAAAAAAGCCGCAAGAUGGCACAUCUCCUUCUAAAGAAGAAAAAUUCGAGUUCAUCACUUCUCAGGUACUGCCUCUAAUGGCAAUUGAUAAAGAAUAUGAAGGUUUCAAGGUAGAAGACCUUAUCAAGCCAUGUUACACAAAUUUUAAUUAUGUGGAUACAGAAAAUCCAUACAAAACAAGAAGAUAUUAUGAGUCCAUCCAAAUAGAUACCGAUUCCAUAGAAGUGGAACACACCAUGAAUGAAAAGGAUCCAGAGUAUAUCAAUUACUCCAGGUUUACUAUCAAAAAGAUUUUAUCUCCAUUUGAAUGGUUUGCAGAUCAUCUGCACACCACCAUAGCAUUGUCAAUGACACACUGACCUCAGACUCACAAUUAGCAUGACUACAAAGCUACCUGGUUCAACUUUUUAUAUCUCAGGACAGGACAUACUUGGUUCGUUAAAUAUUGUCUCGAAGUCACCAAAUCAGUUAUCCCAAGAUGGUUCUACGAGUGGUGGAAUCUUUUCGGAGGUAACAAAAGAAUAUUACCACAACAAUUUCUCAGCAGGUUCGAAGAUUUUCAGACCAAAGAAGAAAUCUCAUCCCUACCGGAGCAUAUUAAAAUGUGCAAAUAUUUUAUUCAAUAAAGAAUAUCCUUUAUUGUUAGUUGAAAUUUCUCAAAAACAGAAUUCGAAAGAAUCGGAUUCUUGUCCAAAGAAAUUAAAAUCAGAGGCUGGACUCCUAAACAGCAAACUCCCAAGCCUCAUAAGAGUGUUCUACCGAACUCUACAAAGGCUUCACCAUCAAAAGCAGAGCUCAGAGAAAAACUCAGACAAGCUCUACAAAAUGUUGAUAAAUAUGAAUAGCAAUAGAUUAUGCAAUUAAUCGAAGAUGCUACUUCAUCCGGAGGAAGUAGCAAUGGAAACAUGUGUAAUCCUAAAGGAUUGGCACUUGCCUACAUGGACCCCAAUUAUGAAUAAAAGAAACGACCCUUGAGAAAAGGUAGAAGUUCAAAGAGCCGGAAUUGCUUUUUCCAAAGGGAAUUCUACUAUUCUCAAAAGGGAUCUAUUAUUAUCUAUCAUCAUCAAAGACAAAAGCAUUACCUAAUUUAUUAAAAGUAACCAUCCCUCUUUUGUAAUAGUCGGCCACAAGGCCUUUACUUUUGUCGGCAACAUUUAAGCCGUCCACUUGUUAUCAUCCUAGAGACAACUAAAACUCCCCUAGAUCUAUAUAAGACUUCACUUACCCAUUGUAAGAGGCAUGAGAAAAUUACCCAAUUUUCUAAGACCUCUCUCCCAACUAUCUUUAUAUUCUCUCUUAUGUUCCUAUGUUUUGCUUAAUGAAGUUUUUCCAAUAAACUUUCAGUUUGUAAGUAUACUUUCUAAUACUUUUUAGUACCUCAAUACAAUACAAAAGGUCCUUAUUUAUAGUUAUACUCUACAGGGACAUAUUACUCCUAUUCCAAUGUGGGACAAGACUACAUUAUGUACAUAUCUGUAAACUAAUACUCUCCCUCAAGCCGGUGCAUACAAAUCAUAUGUACCGAGCUUGUUACAUAUAUAACCAAUACGAGGACCAGUGAGGGAUUUGGCGAAAAUAUCUGCAAGUUGAUCAUUCGACCUCACAAACUUUGUAGCAAUCUCUCCUGAAAGUAUCUUUUCUCUGACGAAGUGACAAUCAAUCUCAAUGUGUUUAGUUCUCUCAUGGAACACCGGAUUUGAUGCAAUAUGAAGGGCAGCUUGAUUAUCGCACACAAGUUCCAUCUACUAAUUUCACCAAAUUUUAACUCCUUGAGCAAUUGUUUGGUCCAGACUAACUCACAUGUUGCCAUAGCCAUUGCUCGAUAUUCUGCUUCUGCACUAGACCGAGCAACUACAUUUUGUUUCUUGCUCUUCCAAGACACCAAAUUUCCUCCUAGUAAAACACAAUAUCCAGACGUAGAACGUCUAUCAGAAGGUGAUCCUGCCCAAUCAACAUCUGAGUAUCCAACAAUCUGCUCAUGACCUCGAUCCUCAAACAGUAACCCUUUGCCUGGAGCCAAUUUUAUAUACCGAAUAAUACGGACAAUUGCAUCUCAAUGACUAUCAUAGGGAGAAUUCNNNNNNNNNNNNNNNNNNNNNNNNNNNNNNNNNNNNNNNNNNNNNNNNNNNNNNNNNNNNNNNNNNNNNNNNNNNNNNNNNNNNNNNNNNNNNNNNNNNNNNNNNNNNNNNNNNNNNNNNNNNNNNNNNNNNNNNNNNNNNNNNNNNNNNNNNNNNNNNNNNNNNNNNNNNNNNNNNNNNNNNNNNNNNNNNNNNNNNNNNNNNNNNNNNNNNNNNNNNNNNNNNNNNNNNNNNNNNNNNNNNNNNNNNNNNNNNNNNNNNNNNNNNNNNNNNNNNNNNNNNNNNNNNNNNNNNNNNNNNNNNNNNNNNNNNNNNNNNNNNNNNNNNNNNNNNNNNNNNNNNNNNNNNNNNNNNNNNNNNNNNNNNNNNNNNNNNNNNNNNNNNNNNNNNNNNNNNNNNNNNNNNNNNNNNNNNNNNNNNNNNNNNNNNNNNNNNNNNNNNNNNNNNNNNNNNNNNNNNNNNNNNNNNNNNNNNNNNNNNNNNNNNNNNNNNNNNNNNNNNNNNNNNNNNNNNNNNNNNNNNNNNNNNNNNNNNNNNNNNNNNNNNNNNNNNNNNNNNNNNNNNNNNNNNNNNNNNNNNNNNNNNNNNNNNNNNNNNNNNNNNNNNNNNNNNNNNNNNNNNNNNNNNNNNNNNNNNNNNNNNNNNNNNNNNNNNNNNNNNNNNNNNNNNNNNNNNNNNNNNNNNNNNNNNNNNNNNNNNNNNNNNNNNNNNNNNNNNNNNNNNNNNGAGGAUACUGCUUUAGACCAUAAAGUGACCGACGCAAGCGACAUACAAGGUCACGAGACUCCUCCUGAGCAAAAUACCAAGUGGUUGCUCCAUAUAAACCUCGUCCUCAAGAUCACCAUGAAGAAAGGCAUUCUUAAUGUCCAGCUGAUAGAGAGACCAAUGACGAACCGCAACCAUGGAUAGAAAAAGGCGGACUGAUGCUACUUUAGCCACGGGAGAAAAGGUAUCACUAUAAUCGAGCCCAAAUAUCUGAGUAUAUCAUUUGGCAACAAGACGGACCUUAAGUCGAUCAACCUGACCAUCGGGACCAACUUUGACUGCAUAAACCCAACGAUAACCAAUAGUAGAUUUACCUGAAGGAAGAGGAACAAGCUCCAAAGUACCACUUGUAUGUAAAGCAGACAUCUCGUCACUCAUAGUCUGUCGCCAUCCUGGAUGAGACAACGCUUCACCUGUAGACUUAGGGAUGAAAACCGAGGAUAAAGAAGAUAUAAAAGCAUAAUGGGAAGAUGACAGACGAUGAUAACUUAAACCGACAUAAUAGGGAUUAGGAUUAAGUAUGGUCCGUAUACCUUUCCGAAGUGCAAUCGGUGUACUAGGAAGAGACAAGUCCACAGUAGGAGCAGGGUCAGGUGCACGACGAGAACCAGUUGGGCCUGAUGUAGGGCGCAGACGACGAUGAUAAGUCAAGAGUGGUGUUCCUGUGGCUGGGGAUCUAAGAGGAACAACACUAGACUCCUUAACGGUUGGUAUAGGUGAAACUUAUUGGUCGAAGGUGGUGGAGGAGGAGCUAUAGUAAACUCCUCAAAGGUCGGUAUAGGUAAGACCUCAGAUAUAUCAUGGUGGUCAACAGAGGUAAAGAAAGGUUUAGACUAAAAAAAAUGUGACGUCAGCUGACAUAAGGUACCUACGAAGAUCAAGGGAAUAACAACGAUAUCCCUUCUGAACACGAGAAUAACCAAGGAAGACAUACUUGAGAGCACGAGGAGCUAACUUAUCUCUCCCGGGGGCUAAGUUAUGAACAAAAUACGUGCUCCCAAACACACGAGGUGGAAGAGAGUAUAAGGGUGAUUGGGGAAACAAUACUGAAUGCGGAAUCUGAUCCUUGAUGGGAGAUGAAGGCAUCUGAUUAGUCAAAUAACAAGCUGUGAGAACUGCAUCGCCCCAAAAACGCAACGGAACACGAGAUUCAAUUAGAAAUGCGCAAGUAGUCUCAAUAAGGUGCCUAUUCUUUCUCUCUGCAACCCCAUUUUGCUGAGGGGUAUAAGGACAAGAUGUCUGAUGCAUAAUUCCUUGAGAAGUCAUAAACUGCUGAGACUGAGAAGAUAAAUAUUGUAAGGCAUUAUCACUGCGCAAAAAUGCAAAUAGAAACACCAAAUUGGUUUUUGAUUUCAGCACAGAAACUCUAGAAUAUAGAAAAUAACUCAGAAUGAUCUUUCAUUAAGAAAAGCCAAGUACAUCUUGAAUAAUCAUCAAUAAAACUAAUAAAAUAACGAAAUCCCAAGGUUGAACCGACUCUACUAGGACCCUAUAUAUCAGAAUGAACUAAGGAGAAAACAGACUCUGCAUGACUCUCAACACUACGCGGAAAGGAGGCUCGGGUAUGUUUGCCAAACUAACACGACUCACAAUCUAAUGUAGACAAACUAGAUAAACUAGGCACCAUCUUCUGAAGUUUGGAUAAACUCGGAUGUCCUAAACGCCUGUGGAUUAGGUCUGGAGGAUCUGUAACUAGACAUGUUAUGGAAGGGCUAAGUGAGUUAAGGUAGUAAAGGCCUUCUGAUUCACGUCUUGUACCAAUUAUUUGUCCCGUACUGUGGUCCUGCAUAAUAAAAGAAUCGUCAAUAAAAUAUAUACCACAAUGGAGGGCACGAGUCAAACGACUAACAGAUGCAAGAAUAAAAGGACAGUCAGGGACAUAAAGAACGGAGUCUAGGGUGAUAGAAGACAAGGGAUUAGCUUGUCCAACUCUUUUUGCCUUAGUUUGACAUUCAUUGGCUAAAGUAACAGUGGGAAAAGACUCUGAAUAUACAAUAUUCGACAAAAGUAAUAUAUUACCUGAGAUGUGAUCAGAAGCGCCUGAAUCCAUGACCCAUGAUCCAAGAGUACUAGACUGGGAAACACAAGCAAAAGAAUUACGAGCAACAGAAGUAUCAGUCUGAGCACCCGAGGCUACUUGUGGAGAUGUCUGCUUACUUGCUCAAUACUGAAGGAGCUCAUUAUAUUCUUCUUUAGAUAAAGAAAAUCCCCGAUUACCUGUAGUCUCGGUCUAAGCAAUGUAAGCAUUUUUGGGUGGACGACCAUGUAAGGAAUAGCACAUUUCAUGAGUGUGUCCAAGUUUGUGACAAUAAGAACACUUGGGUCUAGAUCUUCCAAAACGACCUCCUCCUCGUCUAUUCUCCAUAGUUUGAGAUGCCCGAACAUCCACUGUCUAGGAUGCGAGAACAGAGGAAUCGAGUAUCUGUGAUGAGAUCACUGGGUGACUUGGUGCUGCAGCAAGGCGGAGUAAUCGAGAGAAUAUUUCAUCAACUGUGGGGACAGUCGGACUAGCCAAAAUCUGGCCGCGUACUGAAUCAAGAUCAUUAGGAAGUCCAGCGAGGGUAAGAACUAGAAACAUCUUCUGUUGCUGCUCUUGUUGUUUUUUAACACUAGCAGAAACUGGCAUCAACUUCUCAAAUUACUCCAUGACUGCUUGUACUUGACCCAAGUAAGUAGACAUAUCUAAUCCAUGAUUCUUUAAGUUUGUCAUCCGCGAUAUCAGAUCAUAAAAGCGAAAUAUGUCAUUAGUGUAUAAGGUCCGAGCCUUUGCCCAAACCAAAUAACAUGUCUGGAAUGGACGAAACAAGGGCAUCAACUUGGAAUCAAUAGAUCACCACAAGAUGCUACAUAACUGANNNNNNNNNNNNNNNNNNNNNNNNCCAGAACUCAUGUUUCUAGACCCAAAAUAUCAAAUCUCAAAGAUAUUGUUACAAAUUAUUACCAAAUAAAAGAAAGAAUCAACUGUAAUCCACUAAAACAGAGUAAGAAAAUAUUGUAGUCGUCGGAAUCUUACUGUAGCUGCCGGAAAAAACAAUGUUCACGCUGGAAGAAUAUAAAAGUGGUCGGAAUUUGGUGUAACCUGGAUGGGUAGGCUCAGAAUUCCUUUGCGAAUAAUCUGUCCCAAAGAAAUUUUUCCAAAAUGUGACCGGAAAGGGCCCCACGCGCCGACGCAUGACGUCGUAACUUCGCCGGAAAAAUUUCUUCUGGUGGCGCAUGGGAGCGCGUGGAGGGUCUUCUGACAGAGAUAUUUUUAUGGGUUGAUCGUCGGAGGUCGAUCUACUUCAUGGUGGUGUUGGUUUUUGCACAACAUUGACAAAAAAUGGCUUUUUUUUUAACUGCAACAGACCUAUGUUUGCCGGAAAAAAGACUUCUGGUUGACUGAUUUCUCUUCCCGGAGCCGCUGAAAUUUAUGCACAGUGAUAAAUCUCUCACGAUUGCUAUGAUACCAUGUGAGAAAGCACGGGAGAAAAUAUAUUAUUGAUAUUAGAUGCUCAAUACAAUACAAGAGGUCCUUAUUUAUAGCUAUACUCUACAAGGACAUAUUACUCCUAUUCCAAUGUGGGACAAGACUACAUUAUGUACAUAUGUGUAAACUAACAGUUGGAUAUUCAGAUGCUGAUUGAGCAGGAUCGCCUUGUGAUAGACGUUCUACGUCUGGAUAUUGUGUCUUAAUAGGAAGUAAUUUGGUGUCUUGGAAGAGCAAGAAACAGGAUGUGGUUGCUCGGUCUAGUGCAGAAGCAGAAUAUCGAGCAAUGGCUAUCGCGACAUGAGAGCUAAUUUGGAUCAAACAGUUGCUUUGAAAUUUGGUGAGCUCGGCUAGAUGGAACUUGUGUGUGAUAAUCAAGUUGAUCUUCAUAUUGCGUCAAAUCCAGUAUUCCAUGCGAGAACUAAACACAUUGAGAUUGACUGUCACUUUGUCAGAGAAAAGAUACUCUCGGGAGAUAUUGCUACAAAGUUUGUGAAGUCGAAUGAUCAACUUGCAAAUAUUUUCACCUAGUCCCUCACUGGUCCUCGUAUUAACUACAUAUGUAACAAGCUCGGUACAUAUGAUUUAUAUGCACCAACUUGAGGGGAAGUGUUAGAAUAGUUAUGUGAAUAUAUGUAAUUACUCCUAGUCCCUUAUGUAAUAUGAGUAUGAUGUGUGUUAUGUAUACAUAUAAAUAAGGCUUAUUGUAACAUAGAAUAUCAAUAAUAGAUUUUUCUCUCGUGCAUUCUCACAUGCACAAUAUAAUCAAAACUGGAUUUUGGAUGUUUUUACGGUAUAGAUAUUAUUGUAUACAUGUCUGGGAAGUUAAUAUAAGACUAAUUUAACAUAUGAAAGAGCUUCGAAUAAAGCAUAAUAAAUAUAUAUGAUUACAUAGCGAACCCAACUAGUUUAGGAGAAAUGCCACAGUCAGUACUGUGAGAUUUCUUAGAUUCGCUAUUCAAGAUCUCAAGUUGGUAGAUUUACUUUCUUUAACUGGUCGAGUUCAUUCUAUCCUAGGAGUAUGCAUAUUUGCUAAUCACUCCUUAGUCUAAGGCAACACAUAAUAAUAGAAGUUAAAAAAUUUUGUGGGAAUUUUUAAGUUGCAAGUUGACAAUGCAACAAAAGUAACAUACUCGAGUUUGUAAGAAUCAAGCUUUGGACUAAGUUGCGCGGACUCUUGGUUUUUGGUGCCGCACCCGUCUCGACACGGGACGGGAGCGGGUGCGGGAUACGUCCCGGAUUCGAUCAACUACCUUCGGAUACUAUGACCUGAGUCCAUCGAGAAAUUUGGGGGGAAAUUGAGAUUUUGAUUUCUCAAAAUUAAAAAUAAAACAGAUUUAAGACAUGGGAAAUGGCAUACCUUCAAUAUUGUAGUACUUUUGUCUCAUAUUUGCUGCUUUUUCUGAUAGACAAUAGCAGAAUUCAAGGGGUCGUGUUCUUAAUUCGGACUUCUGGUAGACAAUAGCAGUGAUAUAGAUGGAGAGUUGGUGGAAGGCCUUGAAUGACUUUCUUUUUCUCUUUAUAGCUCUAUUUUUUAUAAUUUUGAAUUUUUUUAGCCGAAUCCCCGCACCCGUAUCCAUACCUGGAUCCGCACCCCCGAAUCUUAAAAUUUAGAUUUUGCCGAAUUCGACACUAUGAUCCGUGUCCGUAUCGGAUACCCGCACCCUAGUCUGAGCAACUUAGGCUUUGGAUUUAUUUUUUAAAAAAUAGAAAAAAGAUGUUUAAAUACUAAAGCAUGAGCAUUGAGAUGAUGCAUAUGGAAAAUUUCUAUAAUGAGACUUGAAAAUGAGUAUUUGGUUUCUUGUGAAAAUGUUAAUGUUUUUUGUUUUGAAGCUAGUGUGGAUCAUACCUAAUCUCAGAGAAAAUUCUGGAAGAAGGAUUGAAACGCUACCUCGUUUUCACACACUUUGAAUCGAACUUCAGAGAUUUUUAAAAUAAAUGCACGCACCAAUAGCGACAUUGAGCAGCCGGAGAUUGAUUGGAAAGGCAGGCCCUCCUGUGGACCUAUCUGCCCGUGCUCGUAGACCAAUCGAAGGUCAAGACUGUAGUCUGGUGGAAAACAAAAAUCGUCAAAAGCUUUGGUUGGUGCAGUUUUCUUUAGACCCACCCUUCAUCAUAAUGAGGAGUCGACAUCCCCUUCUCGAUCAUCAGUGAUCAGACGCCUUUAACUUUUUCCUUUCUCCUCUUUGCAUCAAUGGCGUAUCUGAGUUACCUUGUUCUCCUUCCUGAUAUCGUCUCCAUUAUUGAAGCAAUAUACCUAACAUGUAAAGAAAAAAACAGACACGGUGAGUUAUAAGCAAAUUCAUUAAGCUAUUCUGGGAAACUUUGGAGUAAUGAAUAAGAGAUGAGAUAACUUGCGAAUCCAUAACUGAAGCACACAAAUCAUUCAAACUCUAGUGGUACCACCAAAAUACAUGAAAAUCUCAUGGUCAUCGCAAUGUUAUGAGAAAGGCACUUAAACUCCAUCACACGAAAAAUCAACAGUUUGUAGGAACAAACAUAUCCCCAAAAGUAGGGUAAGAAACAAAAUUUUCAAUAUAGAUGGUAGUAAUACGAAAAGUUUGUUACAGAAAUGCAUAACCCCCCCCCCCCCCCCCCCCCCCGCCACAACCCCCAACCCUAAAAGAUCCGACUAUGACAUCAAUUUCCUCUUCCGUACAAGAAAAAGGAAAGAGAAUGGCAAUACAAACAGAUGCAUUUGUUUUACAACUGGUAUUACUUAUUGUGCUUUGGUAAUACUAAGGCAAUCUGCAUCUGUGACUUUUACUAAGGUCUCAAGGCUUACACCUUUGAAGGCAAUCUACAUCUGUGACUUUUACUAAGGUCUCAAGGCUUACACCUUUGCCUUGUUUGUUAGCAGGUCAAGACAAAUCACAAUAUGAAGGACCUUUACAUAGGUUUUGGCAUGUCAAAACAUUAAAAUGUGAUGGAAAUAAUAGAUCAAUCUGUUCUUGGGAACUUCAUAGUCUUUAGUUGUUUAUCCUUUACUUGCAGUUGCUUUUCCUUUGAGCAUGAUGCAAUAAUAUAGUACAAUUACCCUUCAACUUUGCUUCAUACAAGGUCUAGCAAAACUGGCACCAACAGUGAUGCAUUACCAUGCUAAACGUGCAGAUAUCGUUUAUCUGAAGAAAGCACAUUAACUUGUGCAUAUCGCAUAAAAGGACCGUACAUAUAAAGAAGUUGCAACAAUCACUACAUAAAUCAGGGCAAAAGACAAUAACUACAAAAUCAAGAGCUAGCUACACAAUAAGUAAACUCAGACAUACUGUCGUCGCUUCUAAGAGGUCCUCAAACUUUCCUGUUAAGCACUUAGAAAGCGGAUAAAAGAUUAUCAUUGCCUUUCACCCAGGGGCGGAUGUAGUGUAUUACCUACGGGUUCAACUGAACCCAUAACUUUCGACGCGGAGUAAAAAAUUGUAAGUAAAAAUUCAUUAAAAUUGCAAAAAUAGUAGAUUUGAACCCAUAACUUUAAAAAUAUAAUGGGUUCAAUGCUAAAAAUUUUAAAAUUGAACCCAUAGAAUUUAAAUCCUGGAUCCGCCUCUGCUUUCACCGUACAAAAGGAAAGGUGAGAGCAACAUGCAUGUGAUCGUAAUAGAUGAAAGCCAAAUAAGUUAAGCUCUAGAAUAAGAAACAUUGAACUUCAAGAAACCACCUAGUCAUAGCUCAAACUGAAAUACACAUCCAGAAGGAGCUCAUUCAAUCUGACUUUCCAAGAGAUAUAAAGGACCAUAAUGCUCUAUUAGACCUUGCUCAGUGGUAAAUUGUUCACGGAUGAGGAUUUAUGAAUCCUUAAGACUGUAAUCAGUUAAGCAAACAUAUCUCCUCACUCAGCACCAUCCUCACCACCCCUCCAACCCCAAAGAAAGACCUGAUGCUAGUGAUUCAUUUACGAGGCACUCCUGAACUAUCUGUCUAUCUCAGAAGAAAGAAAAAUUACAUUAAUUACAAACAUACACGUAUGAAUCAGGGAAUUCUCUCACCAAGCUAAAACUAAAAAAAAUGUUUGGCAAAAGGUAAAAUUUUAUAAAAUGAGUAGCACCAAGGAGGUACUUAACUUUACAAACAGUACCAGUCUUCUACUUCUGCCUGUAAGUAGUCCAAAAGAACCAGGAUAUCAACAAAAUCAGCUGCUACACCUUUUACACCAACUAUACAAGAAUACCGUGCUCAAUUUUUGUACUAAGCAUCUCACAUUCCCAAUCUCCUAAUCAUUGAAAUUUCUUCCGGAAAGAAGAUUCCAUCCACCUUCAGAAAAGCAGCUUGUAACAAGUUUUGUUAAUGACGAGUUAAUAUAAAUCUGGAAAAACGUCCCCAAGGCAGUAUUUAUCCAGCCAAAGCCUGAUAUUUCUUCUAUUUUCGACUUUUAAGCCUGUAUGUGAAUUAAAUUCAUCCCAGCAACUUUGAAUUUACUUCCAUAUAGCUACUCCAUAAGGAGCCUUCACCGGCUUUGUGUACUAGGGAGAUUCCAUCUCAUAUAUUUUACAUUCAUAACUUUCUUCCAGUCUCUUCCAUCAUUAAACCUCCGGUGCCAUUUCUAUAACAAAAUUUUGUUGUUAAUUUUCAAAUUUUCUAACUCCCCUUCCACCUUCUGUUUUGUCUUUCAUGACUGCCGACCAUUUCACUAAAUGAUGCUUUCUGUUGUCACCCCCACCUUCCCACAAGGAGUCUGAUCUGAAUCUAUUUACAGGCAUUACAAAUACUAGAAGAAAAUCUUUCAGCAGAAUGAUACAUUCUUUCCAACUCAUGUAACAUGCUACCAUAUUUUUAAAGGCAAAUAACUGUAUUGAGUGACCUAAUCCCCUUGUUCCGACAGACUAUCCAAUGCACUCCUUGACAAGCACAUAUACGUCAGAAUUAUUUGAGAAGUGUGACCACAGUUGAAAGUCUAGAAUCAUACACAAUUCAAAGGCUAAUCAUUUAAGGAAAACAGUUUUCUAAAGAAAUCCAGUUUGUACUUAGCUGCAUCUUAUCUUAUCUUUUUAAAAGAGAAACUGUAUAUAUAUAUUUUUUCCUUCCCUUAAGUUUCAAUUCUUCAUUCAAGUAAAUAUUUGUUAGAGAAGCAUUAUUAUUUUCACGUGGACAAAUUUCCCUUUCACCAUCCUUUCCUUGUUCCGAUGAUGAUCUAUAUGUUGUAAAGUUCUUCUAGCAAAAUCUUCUAAUAAUUAAUCAUCUUUCAUAUUUUUUAAUUGUGAUGCAUCUACAAUCAGAAACUAAAGCAAGUGCACUAACUUUCUAACAAGUAAUUCAUGAUUGAAUUGUUGUACUGACUGUUAAAGCAUCGCCCUGACAUUUUGUCUUCAAUUUGUGAAAAAGAUAGAAUACUUUUGCUAGAAAAGUUGUUUAUUGAGAUUUGACAAAGUGAAAUUUUUAAAGGAAAAAAGAAUUAAANNNNNNNNNNNNNNNNNNNNNNNNNNNNNNNNNNNNNNNNNNNNNNNNNNNNNNNNNNNNNNNNNNNNNNNNNNNNNNNNNNNNNNNNNNNNNNNNNNNNNNNNNNNNNNNNNNNNNNNNNNNNNNNNNNNNNNNNNNNNNNNNNNNNNNNNNNNNNNNNNNNNNNNNNNNNNNNNNNNNNNNNNNNNNNNNNNNNNNNNNNNNNNNNNNNNNNNNNNNNNNNNNNNNNNNNNNNNNNNNNNNNNNNNNNNNNNNNNNNNNNNNNNNNNNNNNNNNNNNNNNNNNNNNNNNNNNUUCUUCUCUCUCUCUCCUACCCCCCCCCCCCUCCUCCCUCUCCCUCCCCUCUCUCUCUCUUUGCAUGAUAUUCAGUUUUAUACAUUUGCCUUUCAGAUUGGCUACUAACUAUUGAUCUUUCCUCUGCUGCUCAAGCGGCAGAUUAAACUCAGGUUUUACCCUUUUAGAGGUCUGAGCUCUUCUCAAUCGGUCAAUCUUCUUUUCUUUUUUUUUUAAUGAUGGUAGUGUCCGGGCCAGCUUGUGCGCACCUCGACUAUUCCACCGGAUACCUGCUAUCUCUCACCAGCACAGGUACCGGGUAAUUCUGCCUAUCAAGAUUUUGGCAGAUGGGAAGAAGGCACCUACUAUUUUUUGUGUCACUUGGGAUUUGAACCUUGGUCUUCAAGGUUUGCACCCACUUCAUUGACCAGUUGUCCACACCCUUGGGUGUGAAUCAGUCAUUCAUUUAGCACAUUCCUUCUUGCUAGCAGUAUUGUUUAUAUCCUUGUUCAAUGAAGCCUGUUGAGUAGACUUUAAAAGCUCUUUGGUUCCAAGAGAUAAAUUUCAGUGACAUAGAUUUACUUUAAUCCCUAAUUGUUUUCUAAUUUCUCGUCAACUAUGUAAUUAAUUACCCUAAUUAGCAUUGCAAGAAGUAUGAAACAAGAGGGCACUAACCCCUAUGUAAUUAAUGGGUAAAUGUCAAAGAUGCCCGCAUAAAAUGUGGGAAUAUACAAUUACAUGGCAAGUGAUAGGUAUAAAUGCCAUUGAAAGAUUAGCCACAGAAGAUAACAUUAACAUUCAGAAAACCUACUCAAAAUGCCAUUCUCUUAAAGAAUGUUAAAAAUGCUUUUAAAGUAAUUACAUUAAAUUAGUAGAAUAUAACUCACAUUUACUACCUUCAUUCCUACCGUAUAGGCACAGCAGUUGCAUAGAGACUAUUUUACUUAAUAGGAAAAAAUACAUGAUUCUUAUUCAUUACUCACACUAAGUUUACAAAGUUGACAUACAUUUACCAAAAGAAUCUAAAGAAAUAGCGUGUCCCCUUAUUACAAGAUGUGCUUAGAACUAAAUCAUAUUAAAGAGUAGAAUCCAAAAGCUUGGUCCAUACUAGAUCUGACAUACAAAAUAGGAAUACAUUAUUCAUAACUCGAUGUAGCUUAGUACUAAAUCCAAUUUGAGGUGUGAAAGAUCUGUAAGCUUGUCCAACUGAAUAGAUGUUAUAUCACUUGCUCAUUCCAGUUUAUACUUAGUGGUUGUACAACCUGAAUCCUUUAAUCCACUAACAUGAAAUGGAAAAUUUAUAGACACCCUAGGAGUAGACAAUUUAAACCUAUCCAGUGGGCCAUAUGAGAGCUACUAGACACCAGGAUAUUCAAAUGAUGACUUUUUUCUUCUUUCUCAAUUGGGACUUAAACAAUGAUUUUAAAGGGGGUUAUGAGAUGGUACAGCUGAUGCCGAAACAAUUUAAUCAUAUAAUCUUUUUCAAAAAUAAAUCCUUCCUAUAUUCCAUCUAGAAUUGUUUCAACUACAGUUAUCUUUUAAUCCUCUCACAAAAAUUCAAAAUAGUGUUCCUAACAAUUGCUCGGUCAUACUCCACUUCUCAUAUUUAGGUACACAAGUAUGAGUCAAAGGCAAGGAAGGAACCACACAUUUUUCCAUAUUGAGAUAAUCAUUGUUCUGAUAUCUGAGAAAAUAAGUAUCCUUGUCACCUGAUAAUCUAUAUGUUCAUCGCAUUAAUCCAUAGAGUCAAUGCAUCAUAACACAUAACGAAGGCCACAGAAUUUUCGGAUGUUUGUGUCUUUUGUGUUCAAUAGUUCUAUGUAUCAAUGGUUCCUCUUGCAGCUCUUCGUGUUAUCAAGACUAACUUGUCUAAUCUAGUCUAUAAGUAAUCUAUGUCACAAAUAAUUUCAGAAGUUGGAAAUAACCCUCAUAGUGCAGGCAAACAGAGGACACAAAAGUUCUCUAAUGGAUACGGCCAAGGGUGACCAAAGAUCUGAAGUGAAAGACUCUGGGAAAUCAGUCAAAGCAGAUGCAUCAAUGGAUUGCAAGCUCAAUGAGAUUUAUGAAGCUUUAUGUUGUAUGCUAUGCAGUAAACUGUUUGAAGAAGCCACCACUGUAAACCUUUGCCUUCACACAUGUAAGCUUCAAUGAGUUGCUUCUCUGUGUUUUUUGCAUUCACAUGCAUGCACACGUAAACAGACAUUUACGUAUGUUGUGUGACCAAGUCUAUACUCUUCUCACUUUUGAUAUUAUUACCAUAAUAAUACAGUAGCACAAUUAAUAAAAAUAUUUUUUUAAGGUAAAGGUUUUAUAUAAAAUGGUACAGAGAUGGUACACAAAAAGUGCAAGAAAUAGCUGCAGCUAUUCCACCAAUCCUAUUACACAAUUAAUAAUAGAAUUAUCAAUACGAAAAGCUCGGUUUCUUCUUUUUAACCAGACAACUUCAGAUACUUAACAUGUCCAUGGGCAUGUUUAGCACCACAAACCAACUAGCAAAGUGCACUUCAAGGUAGACGAGUGUCAAAAAUAUGUUAUAGGCUAUCAAACUUGAGAUAUAAGGGAUCGUUUGGUUGGAAAGAAGUUAUCCCAGGACUAAUUAUCCCGGGAUUAGUUAUUCCAUCUUCCCAUGGGGAUAAAAAAAUACUACAAUCCCGGGACUAAUUAUACCGCACUUUUCUACCAACCAAACAUGGGAUAAACUCUUCUUAAAUUUAGUCCCGGGAUUAAUUAUUCCUUAUCCCUCAUACCAAACGAGCCCUAAUUGUCUUCACUUUAUGAUAACAGAAGUAUAAGAUUUCCGGACCACAAGCUCUUUAAACUAAAAAAAGUGGCAGUAUUAUUCUCAUGAUUUGGACAUUAAGACUUGGAGGGUGUACGUUGAUCCUUUUCCAGAAUGCUUCCCUCUUCAUAAAGUAAUAAGAAAAUAUCUAGUUAUCAAAUAAGAAGUGCAUCUCUUCAGCUAUCAAUGUUUGUAUUUUCAUUUGUUGAGAUGGACAUUAUCUUUCUUUUGUUGUUGAUAAGUUUGUUUUAGUGAGACUGGUAAUUAGCUGGUUUACUUUAUGAAAGAAAAUAGUUAGCUUGCUUACUUAAUUUUAUGAUUCUCGUCAAUAUUAGCCCCAUGAUUGAUUCUUGUUCAUACAUGAAAUUGUUAACUUAUUUAUCUCAGGCUUACAACAAUUCCUUCUUGCUUGCAGUUUGCAAAAGGUGCAUCUAUCAAGCAGUUCAAGAAACUAAGUGCUGCCCACAAUGCAAGGAAGACCUAGGUUCUUCACCUGAAGAGCAUCUCAAGUAAUAGCUGGCCUCAUUUCUCUUUCAUUUAAAGCUCAAUGUUUUCUCAAGUAAAUAUAUGUUCAGAAGCUGCAGAAAGAAAUAAAAAAAUAAUGUGAUAGUUGAUGUGACCUAUGUCUUUUGACAUGCGUCAGAUAGAAUAGGAACAGUCAGCAGCCAAUCAGAAGUUCAUUUCAUAGGCGCAAAGUUCUUUAACAGCCAUUUUUUAUGAGUAUGAUCGCUUGCCAAUUAACUGAGAACUUCAUAGGCCUACGACGGUUCAAAGAUCCUUUUUUAAAGCCCUUCCAAAUUUCACUUCAAAUUGGCUGUGUUCAUUAGGAUAUGACGGAGUACUGGGACAAAAUGCUUCUCUAAUAUUAUCGCAGCUUUAAAGCUUGCACAGUUAGAUUUAUUGCUUCUUAAAGCAGAAACUGCCUCUACGCACAAGAAUAUUUCAUUGGACUAUUAUAUCCAUUUUCGAUAAAACUUUGGGAUAAAUGAGAUAUUAUUCUGUAUACGGGGACCUCUCCUUCAGAUCCUUCAGUAAUGGUACGCAAACCUAUAAUUAAGUAGCUGCACAGAACUUAAGGACCUGAAGUUUCUUUCUGACACAUCACCAGAAGUUUGGCAAUUGGAUAGAUCAUUUGUGUCGAUAAGAACCUAUCAUGUCAGAUAGAACUCAGAAUCUUUUUGAGUCUACAUACCUAACCACAUACGGGCAUCAGUGUUAUUAAAAGCUAUCGCUUCAUUGCUUAAAGCGAUGAAGCAAUAAAAAGCGAGUGUUAUCGCUUCAUGAAGUUAUUCGGGAUAAAGUGGGAGUGGCCCCUGUGGAAAAUAAGAUGCAGGAGGCGAGGUUGAAAUGGUUCGGGUAUGCUAAGAGGAGAAGCACAGAAGCCCCAGUUAGGAGGUGUGAGGGGUUAGCCUUGGUGGGUAUGAAGAGGGUUAGAGGUAGGCCUAAGAAGUCUUGGGGAGAGGUGAUUAGGCGAGACAUGACGCAAUUGAAGCUUACUGAGGACAUGACCCUUGAUAGAAGGGUGUGAAAGUCGAGGAUUAGGGUAGAAGGUUAGUAGGUAGGCAAGCGUUCCCUUUUGUUUUCCUUCAUUCGGUAGCAUUAGUUCUAGUUUGAUAUCUUUCUACUGUUAGAUUGCUAUUAUUACCUACCUUUUAGUUGCUACCUUUGCUUCGGUUUUCUUUUAUAAUGUUGUUGUUACUACUUGUUGCCAUUACUUCUUUUCAUCAUUUCUUUAGCCGAGGGUCUAUCGGAAACAGUCUCUUCUCCUUUCCAGGAUAGGAGUAAGGCUGCGUACAUCUUACCCUCCCAAGACCCCACUUGUGAGAAGAGAAUUCACUGGGCAUGUUAUUGUUGUUGUUGUUAUCGCUUCAUGAGUGAAGCCAUGUGCUUCAGUAGAGUGUAAAUUUGUGUUUAAAACAAUGACGUGCAAAGUGAUCCAAAUGGGAAGCAGUCUGUGUUUUUAAUCUCAACUUUGAGGAGUUGGACUAAUGUCAUCCAAUUGUAUACUGAAUGCUGAAACUAGUUAUUUUAAUGCAACUUAAUUAUUUAUUAUAGUGUAUGUUGGUACUUUAAAAUUUUACGUAAAUAGUGGUUUUCACUUCAAAGAAGAGUGUGCUUCACUUCUCGCUUUUCGCUUCAAGUCCAGUGACUCUUGUGGGUUUUUAGCCCUUUACGCUUUUAAAAGCACUGAGUUGCAGCAUGUACGCCGGAUCAGAAUGUCUGGACUCCAAUAAGUUAAUGCUCUAUUGAUGGAAGGAAGGCACACCAGGGUGGAAACUCCACCCCUACUUUUCUUUUACUAACCUUAUCUCUUCUUUUUGCCAAUGGACUGCAUAUUUUCAACAGAGAUGAUGAGAAAAUACGGUCCAUAGCACACAAAAUUCAGUCCCUCUUUAAUGGAGAAGGACAACUGGGAUCAGAAGCUAAUGAUGUGAGGCAAGGAUCUGGAACUAAUAAUCAGCUUGAGGAUCAUGAAAUUUCUGAGGAGAAGUUUCAUCACAACCCUGCACAUGCAGAGAAAGAAAAUACCUUAGAUCGCACGUCCUCACAAGAAAGCUCAGCUUUCUCUACAACUGCAUCUGCAGUUAAGGUAGUUAUCGGCUCUUUUCCUUUUCUCCAAUCAAAAGUUCACUGUAUUUGGCAUAUAUAUUUUGGAAAGGAAUUUGGCCUUAAGUUCGUACUGUUGGUUAGAUGUAUUUCACAUAACCUCAAUAUAAAAGUCUGUUUCUUUGAAGAUGCCUCAGGUUGCUUGCGGUGUAUCUCAAACCAAUGCUGAAGUAGGUAAGUCCAAGACGGAGGAGAUCAGAGGGCAAAAGAAGAAAAAGAGGAACAAGAACAGAAGAGCACGCCAGCUUACACCAGGUGAGACUAGUAAGACUGAGGAGAAAAAGUCAGACAUUGGGCCAGAUGACAUUCAUAAGGACGAGCAUGCCAAAGACAGAGAGUCUUCAACACCUAAAAAGCAAGUUUUGGAUGAAAAACAAAAGGAAGUCUGCUCUUUCUGGUUUUCUCUUGUACCACAGGGAGACAAGUACGUACCCGACCAGUCACAUCGUUCUCAAGAUUCUUGUUUCACUGAUCUGACACAAUUUUGUUCUUUUACUCUUGGCAGGAGUGGACGUAGGUUGCCGCCCAUUAAUAAGUCCUAUAUCCAUCUCAAGUAAGAUUUUCACAUGCAUACCUAUGCAUCUAUUCUUUUAGCAUAGACUGAAGUAUAAAGCAGAUUGAAAUCUUAAUUAGAUACAUGCAUGCAAGACGGGCCAAGCUAUUAAUUGCAUUUCACGAGAUAGCAUCUAAUACUAGCAUUUAAAUUCUGUCUUCAAUAUUGAUCUAACCCCUAUAUUUUUAAAUCUCAUUUUCAUCACCAUGUAAAAUGAAAUGACUGAUUUUGCAUCACAUGCAGGGACAGUAGGAUCACCGUAUCUGCAAUCCAGAAGUACCUCGCACAGAAGCUAAAUAUAAAUGAUCAUACUAAGGUAAUGAUUUUGUAUACAGAGUGCUAACCUAAUUUCAACGUAUUGCCUUUUUUUUAAAUCGAGAAAGUAUUGCCUUUAUUCACGUAGAGAACAACCAAAAGGGGAAAGAAAACUUUUGAAAGAAGGGCAAACCUAUUCGAAAUUCUUAAAGGGGAAUCACACAAUUCACUGUACAAAGUGCACAAGCAAAAACAACUCGUGAACUAUUUAUUUAGCCAGACUUCUGCCUCUGUCCCCCCAUAAUUACUUAAAAACUUAUGAUCUAAGCUUUCUUUUCAAGAGUCUCUAUCUGUUAAAUGAAUCUUUCUUUCUUCUUAGCUUACAGAGAAUACACAAAAAAAUCAGCCUUUAUUUGGUUGGGAAACAAUUGAGUGAGCUAAAAUACGAUUUAAGAUCUGAAAACCAGACAUCUGAGCACUCACUCCAACCAGCUCGGUAACUAGAAAAUUAAUGACAAAUAUCUACGCCUUAAUGCGUUGUCAAAAUUUUGCAUUUAUUUGAACUAGUUAGUUAGAUAAUAAUCAUUUCUUAACUACUAUUGAUACAUCAAGAACUAGGAACUACCCUCUAUUUGGAUUAUACACUAAUGUUUCCUUCACAUAGACAUAGAACCUAUGAAUGAGAGGGGGAGCAAAACAUUUUAAUGACUUGAAUUAAAAGGACAAAAUAAACAUGUAUGGAACAGUGAAACAGAUUGUUUUAUACAUACACGACGAAAUGUAGAAAAGGUUGCCACAGUAUUGCUUUGCCGCUGAAUCUUUUAUAAUACUUGGUGCAGGUGGAUGUUGUAUGCUGCAGGCAAAAGCUGGACGAAAGUAUGACCCUCAAGGACAUUCAGUUUAUAUGGAUGUCAGACCUUCAGAAUUCAGGAAGGAGAAAGGAUAAGUGGGACACAAAGGAGCUUGUGAUUGAGCUAGGGUACAUCAGAAGCGAGAAGUCUGAAACUCCCCAAAAGAAAUGAGAAGUGUGACAAUCAUGGUUUAAAUGCAAUGAACUUCCUAUCCAGCAAGAAACUUAAAGACUAUCAGUAAACAAUUUCUGUAUUUGCAUAAUAAUAGCCUCAGAGCUAUUAGUACCUUUCUCUGCUUUACUAUCGGCAAACAAUCUAUGCUUUGGACCUUGUGUUCUCUAGUUUCUUAUCAAAAUUAUGCUAUGGACUUCUAUACACCUAUCAUCUAGGUUGCACUGGCUGCUUGAUCUUUCCAUUUCCCCCCAAUAACUUGUAAAGUUGCUGUCAUGUGACCAGGAGGUCACGGGUUCGAGCUAUGGAAACAACCUCUUGGAGAAAUGCAGGGUAAGGUUACGUACAAUAGACUCUUGUGGUCCGGCCCUUCCACGGACCCCGCGCAGAGCGGGAGUUUAGUGCACCGGGCUGCCCUUUAUUCUACAAUAAGCAGGUUUUUCAGAAAGUCUGGUUGUCUUUCACUACAGGCAGAAGGAGUAAAUCUAUUUGGAACUAUUUCUCCUGUAGCUCAUAUGAUAGAGUUGAUGACCUUUCAUAUCUGUCUUUCUUCAGCCCAUCAAUUAGUGCUUGACAUACAAUUUGUGACUUAAAGAAUCAAUUCAAGCUCAAACCAGAUAUUGAUAAUUUAUGUACCAUUAUUCUUCUAGUAGUUCAAACAAUAGUUCAGUCAUAUUCAAAUGAAGUGCCCACUAUGCCCCCAAUAAAGAAUGACCUACUUUCCUUCUCGCUUCGUCAUUAAAAAAACUUGACCACCUUCCUUAGUUACAAAUAUUUCUCCCUAAUGCAAACAAAUAUAGAACUAAUACUAUUCCUUAUCCAUACAAGAUAGUUUUGGAUUGUCCCAAAAUGUCCACUUUACUACUUGAACUAUUUCCCCUGGCUUUUUAUUAGUUUUGAUAUUAUACUAUUCAAAAGCUACAAUUAUGGAUCGAACCGACAAAGAAGUAACUUAACCAACUUUGCUUCUAAAACAGGAAAGCAAUCGGGGAACUGAAGCCAUACAAAUUAAAUGACUUCUAUUACCACCCAUGCACCCAGAGGCGGAUCUUCCUAGUUCACCUGAACCCACAAAGCAUUUGCCUAGAUCCUAUAUAUGUAUAUUAAAAUUCACUAAAUAUAUUUAAAUAUUUAAUUGUGAGCUCAAUUAUUUUUAUAUAUUAAUUUGAGGUCACUGUAGGAACUCAUAAACUCCAAAUCAUGGAUCCGCCUAUUCCUACUCGAUCCAGCAUCAUUAAACUUCUGACCACAACAACAAUUAUAGAACCAAUAUCACCAUUUAAUUUGCAAGAUAUGAACUAGAAAAAUAGGAUUGGUUGAUCUCCAAAGAGUAAUAACCCAAAAGAUUGUUCCGAAUUUAGCUUCCAAGUACCGUAAAUUCUAGAAUAAGAAGCACAGUAAACAGUAGAAGAAUAUGAAGAAUAAGAGUAUAGUAUUAGAAGGAGAAGAGAAAUAUGGGUUACCCGUAAAAAUGACAGAGUAGAGAUGCGCCAAACUGAAUAGAGCUCCUUCAAUUUUUGGGGCUGAAAACGGUCUGUUGUUUUUGGCGAAGACGCUGU
This 26980-nucleotide long non-coding RNA is filed under the name Nicotiana tabacum (common tobacco). RNAcentral's name for it is "long non-coding RNA (NTAB_LNC000862)". The record is from RNAcentral. Lineage: Eukaryota; Viridiplantae; Streptophyta; Magnoliopsida; Solanales; Solanaceae.